Non-coding RNA from Beta vulgaris subsp. vulgaris (sugar beet), 139 nucleotides. The record is from Rfam. Lineage: Eukaryota; Viridiplantae; Streptophyta; Magnoliopsida; Caryophyllales; Amaranthaceae.
AUAGCAGGGACUGUGUGUAUCAGUAUUAAGCAGUGAUCAUAUGCUCUAUGCUGAAAGAAUUCCCUGCAAUAUUAAUUGGAGAAGAUGGGCAGUUGAGAUGUCAUCUAUUGGUAUCUCAACAAUCAUCUUUCCUACAUUU